UUGUAUGUUAGUAUAUCCUGAAGAUAACUAAUGAAGUGCAGUAGGCAAGAGUAACAAGUUCAAAGUGAAGAUUAAUCCUGUUCUUUUGAAAAUUAAGCAACUUACAUUCUAGCUAUGCCAUAAGCUUGUAGCGUCACUAGGAACAACCAAAGGAGAAUAAUCUAAUUGGAUUGCCAACAGCAAGGCCAGCUCUUCUCAAACUCAUACAAGAAAACAUUUUACUAACAUUCCAAACGGCAAAUCUGUGUAAUCAAAAGCAAAGUUAGCUCAUUUACAAUCUGCUUCACGCUCCAAGCAGAUUAGCAACAAAAAGUAUUGUACGGUUGUGCAAAUGAACAGAAUUUGCAAUUACAUUUCAAUAUGUCACCAAAAGAAGCAUCACCGUCAGACGUAUAAGCAAGUAGUCAAACCAAUAUUUCACUUGUCGAGUAGGUGCUGGUAAGCGCGCCAAACCUCAAAUAUCCGCCGCGAAAACAACCAGGGACGACUGGCCUUCUCGCAAGAGACGGCGGCAGCUGCUGUUCCGGCGUCCAUGGGAAUUGGGAGGUCUUUUACUGUUGGAUGCUUGCUUCAGGACUUCAAAGUUCAAAGUGCACUUCGGCUU
RNAcentral lists this long non-coding RNA (604 nucleotides) under Coffea arabica (coffee). RNAcentral's name for it is "long non-coding RNA (CARA_LNC005190)". Lineage: Eukaryota; Viridiplantae; Streptophyta; Magnoliopsida; Gentianales; Rubiaceae. The record is from RNAcentral.